AGCACCUCAAGUGGUCAGGAGGAUUAUUGGGCCUAAAGCAUCCGUAGCCUGCUUUGUUAGUUUUCGGUUAAAUCCAUAUGCUCAACAUAUGGGCUGCCGGGAAUACUGCAUAGCUAGGGAGUGGGAGAGGUAGACGGUACUCCGUAGGAAGGGGUAAAAUCCUUUGAUCUAUGGAUGACCACCUGUGGCGAAGGCGGUCUACCAGAACACGUCCGACGGUGAGGGAUGAAAGCUGGGGGAGCAAACCGGAUUAGAUACCCGGGUAGUCCCAGCUGUAAACUAUGCAAACUCAGUGAUGCAUUGGCUUGUGGCCAGUGCAGUGCCGCAGGGGAAGCCGUUAAGUUUGCCGCCUGGGAAGUACGUACGCAAGUAUG
This 374-nucleotide ribosomal RNA is filed under the name uncultured organism. Its description in RNAcentral is "partial 16S ribosomal RNA". It matches the Rfam family "Archaeal small subunit ribosomal RNA", at positions 478 to 851 of the family's 1478-position model. The record is from RNAcentral.